Molecule: ribosomal RNA, 458 nt
Filed under: Streptococcus sp. oral taxon 071
Lineage: Bacteria; Bacillati; Bacillota; Bacilli; Lactobacillales; Streptococcaceae
Description: bacterial SSU rRNA
Rfam family: Bacterial small subunit ribosomal RNA
Source: RNAcentral
GACGAACGCUGGCGGCGUGCCUAAUACAUGCAAGUAGAACGCUGAAGAGAGGAGCUUGCUCUUCUUGGAUGAGUUGCGAACGGGUGAGUAACGCGUAGGUAACCUGCCUGGUAGCGGGGGAUAACUAUUGGAAACGAUAGCUAAUACCGCAUAAAAUGGAUUAUCGCAUGAUAAUUCAUUGAAAGGUGCAAAUGCAUCACUACCAGAUGGACCUGCGUUGUAUUAGCUAGUUGGUGGGGUAACGGCUCACCAAGGCAACGAUACAUAGCCGACCUGAGAGGGUGAUCGGCCACACUGGGACUGAGACACGGCCCAGACUCCUACGGGAGGCAGCAGUAGGGAAUCUUCGGCAAUGGACGGAAGUCUGACCGAGCAACGCCGCGUGAGUGAAGAAGGUUUUCGGAUCGUAAAGCUCUGUUGUAAGAGAAGAACGAGUGUGAGAGGGAAAGUUCACACUG